RNAcentral lists this transfer RNA (75 nucleotides) under Candidatus Nealsonbacteria bacterium CG_4_10_14_0_2_um_filter_40_15. Its description in RNAcentral is "tRNA-Glu". It matches the Rfam family "tRNA". From Rfam's summary of the family: Transfer RNA (tRNA) molecules are approximately 80 nucleotides in length. Their secondary structure includes four short double-helical elements and three loops (D, anti-codon, and T loops). Further hydrogen bonds mediate the characteristic L-shaped molecular structure. tRNAs have two regions of fundamental functional importance: the anti-codon, which is responsible for specific mRNA codon recognition, and the 3' end, to which the tRNAs corresponding amino acid is attached (by aminoacyl-tRNA synthetases). tRNAs cope with the degeneracy of the genetic code in two manners: having more than one tRNA (with a specific anti-codon) for a particular amino acid; and 'wobble' base-pairing, i.e. permitting non-standard base-pairing at the 3rd anti-codon position. Lineage: Bacteria; Candidatus Nealsoniibacteriota. The record is from RNAcentral.
GGCCCCAUCGUCUAGCCUGGCCCAGGACGGGAGAUUUUCAUUCUUCUAACACCAGUUCAAAUCUGGUUGGGGCCG